This is a long non-coding RNA of Syngnathoides biaculeatus (alligator pipefish), 975 nucleotides long. RefSeq lists it as uncharacterized. The transcript is spliced from 4 exons. Lineage: Eukaryota; Metazoa; Chordata; Actinopteri; Syngnathiformes; Syngnathidae. The record is from RefSeq and is a predicted model, not a curated record.
CCACGCCCAACCUGGGCAGGAAGCCAGGAGCAUGACACUGAGGGUUUUGUGCUGACACUGGCUGGUAUUUGGAAAUGUAACUGGUUCUGUUUUGACUCGGGUUCCAGCUCCAACUGAAGUAAAACAGCCUCAAAGCACAAUGCGGGAACCUCCAUAUUUCACUGAAGUCUGAAAACAUCCCCAUCCAUGCUUCAACGUGUGCAAUUUGACAACUUGUUGCUGAGUGUUCCUGUUCGCUAUGGACAUCUCAGAAAAAUGAUGGAGAUGGAGAAUCUCCCAAUCCAAGAGCCCAUUUUUCUUCCAUCGGCUCCUUAUACGGUGUCUUGAAAAAGCCAAGGAGGUCAUCCUUCAAAACUGGAAAUGAGAAAAACUUUGCUGCAUCACUCACUGGAACAAUUUUCGCAUAGAAAAUAAGAAGCUAAGUCAAACAAGGGGGAGAGGUCCUGCAUUUGGGUCAAUAGGCUCCAGCACUCCCCAUGACCUUUUUGAGGAUAAGCAGCAAAGAAAAUGGGUAGAUUGAUGGAUGUUUUGUACAGAUUUAAGUAACCACACGAAUAAGCAUGUAGAAGUUACCGAAUUUUUGCAAGACUAAAAAAAGAAACCAAUUGGAAAAUAAUGGAUAGUUUGCAUAUUGCAUAAUGUAACAUUAUACAUGAUUUACUGGCUUUCAGACAUGUAAAGGAAGACGGUGUUUGAAUGUUUAAGCUUUAAGAAGCUUUUAAUUUUGAAAUGUGUUUAAAUGUUCGGUGCGAGGGUUUUGGCACGGCUGCUGUAACAAGAGACGUAAAAGCCAGACUGCACAGAUGACUUGUGGGCACUCAUCUGUUAAAAUGAACACGGACGGGACAAAUGAGGGGAUGGCGGGCGGGAAAACAUGACUGGCCAAGGCUGCCACUGAUACAAGGACAAUGCCCUAUUUGGUCUGGCGCUUACACAUGGAUGAACAUGUCAAAAUUUUUCCUCGUCCACCCUUUU